Long non-coding RNA from Neofelis nebulosa (Clouded leopard), 706 nucleotides. RefSeq lists it as uncharacterized. The record is from RefSeq and is a predicted model, not a curated record. The transcript is spliced from 2 exons. Lineage: Eukaryota; Metazoa; Chordata; Mammalia; Carnivora; Felidae.
UGAAACUGAAGAGAGACAGCGUCACGUGGGUCGCAAGCAGUUGAGAAGAUACGCCAGUAACCCGGCCGUGCGCAGGGGGCAGGGCAUCCCGAAGACCCUGGGCCGUCCCCCUGUCGCGGCCUGCACCCUGUGUGCAGUUACAGAGGGCACGUCGGUCAGCAGCCCUGUCCGUAAAUCCUAACAUCUGAGGCAGAAGUGCGGGCUCCAGGCUGCCCUCCACACGGCGGUGGUGACCCCAUGGCAGCGAACGGUGGUCUUCCCAGACCGCUGCUGGCACCAGAGAUUCCACUAAGAGAGGGUGCCAACCGGACAAGCAAAACACUGUGUCGGUGAAUUAAUUUAUUUAUCUCUGCCAUUAGGAGAUUAGACUUCUUCCCAUGUUUACUGAGCUGAGGGGGCGGGGGGAGGGCCCCCAGGGACACGUGGAGUCAGGGACUUCCUUGUCUGGGCCACUUCUAAUCUGUUCCAUGUUUCAAAAUGUUGGCAGCUGGGACUAAGUUCCUCAACGCCAACGAUGGGGGCACAAGUGUGCCCGGACCCCACUUCACCCUCCGGGUAGGGCCAGCUCAGCGGAUUCUAAUGGCGCCCACAACGGAGAUGUGCACUGAACACCAUGAGAUGUUCCUUAAAACUCCGCCCGAAAGAAAAACGCAGCGUUCAGCCCAGAGAAGAGAUGAUCUGAUAACUAACCAGCACACCGGGCACA